RNAcentral lists this ribosomal RNA (303 nucleotides) under uncultured bacterium. Its description in RNAcentral is "partial 16S ribosomal RNA". It matches the Rfam family "Bacterial small subunit ribosomal RNA", at positions 507 to 807 of the family's 1533-position model. The record is from RNAcentral.
AGCAGUCGCCACGGUAAAACGUAGGUGGCAAGCGUUGUCCGGAUUUAUUGGGCGUAAAGCGAGCGCAGGCGGUUUCUUAAGUCUGAUGUGAAAGCCCCCGGCUCAACCGGGGAGGGUCAUUGGAAACUGGGAGACUUGAGUGCAGAAGAGGAGAGUGGAAUUCCAUGUGUAGCGGUGAAAUGCGUAGAUAUAUGGAGGAACACCAGUGGCGAAGGCGGCUCUCUGGUCUGUAACUGACGCUGAGGCUCGAAAGCGUGGGGAGCGAACAGGAUUAGAUACCCGGGUAGUCCCUGUCUCUUAUAC